CCUACGGGUGGCAGCAGUGAGGAAUAUUGGUCAAUGGCCGGAAGGCUGAACCAGCCAUGCCGCGUGAAGGUCAGUGCCCUAUGGGCGUUAAACUUCUUUUGUGCGGGAGCAAUAAUGGUCACGUUUGGCCAGACGAGAGUACCGUACGAAUAAGCAUCGGCUAACUCCGUACCAGCAGCCGCGGUAAUACGGGGGAUGCAAGCGUUAUCCGGAUUUAUUGGGGUUAAAGGGUGCGUAGGCUGUGAGGUAAGUCAGCGGUGAAAUGCCCCCGCUCAACGGGGUGAAGUGCCAUUGAUACUGCCUUGCUGGAAUGCGGAUGCCGUGGGAGGAAUGUGUGGUGUAGCGGUGAAAUGCAUAGAUAUCACACAGAACACCGAUUGCGAAGGCAUCUCACGAAUCCGCGAUUGACGCUGAUGCACGAAAGCGUGGGUAUCAAACAGGAUUAGAUAUCCCUGUAGUC
This 460-nucleotide ribosomal RNA is filed under the name uncultured bacterium. Its description in RNAcentral is "partial 16S ribosomal RNA". It matches the Rfam family "Bacterial small subunit ribosomal RNA", at positions 338 to 795 of the family's 1533-position model. The record is from RNAcentral.